GAAUGCAAACAUUUCCAGACUAUGAGAUUUGGGUCACUAAAGCAGAGGACUUGGGUUUGGUAUAACUCUGAAAAAAAGCCAACUGGAUUCCAUUUAUACAGAGCAAGCCAAAAUGUGAUCCAUGGCAAAAGAAGCUUUUGAUAAAACUAAAAGAACGGAAAUGAAUAGAUGCAUUAAUGCAACUCCAAGCAAAGUUUUUGAAGAUUUCUGACCCUGAGUGAGUAAUGCAGGUGCUCCAAGACCAUGCAACAAAGACAGCCACGCUGGCUCCACACCAUCCAUCUUCUGUGGCUUCCCAGGG
Long non-coding RNA from Nycticebus coucang (slow loris), 301 nucleotides. RefSeq lists it as uncharacterized. The transcript is spliced from 3 exons. Lineage: Eukaryota; Metazoa; Chordata; Mammalia; Primates; Lorisidae. The record is from RefSeq and is a predicted model, not a curated record.